This 1243-nucleotide ribosomal RNA is filed under the name metagenome. RNAcentral describes it as "bacterial LSU rRNA". It matches the Rfam family "Bacterial large subunit ribosomal RNA", at positions 1564 to 2817 of the family's 2925-position model. The record is from RNAcentral.
UGAAUACGAGACGCUAAGGCGUCGAAGUAGUGUAUGUCAUACUUCCAAGAAAAGCUUGCACUGUCAUAGAUAAAAAACGCCUGUACCAUAACCGACACAGGUGGGUAGGUAGAGUAUACUAAGGGGCGCGAGAUAACUCUCUCUAAGGAACUCGGCAAAAUAACUCCGUAACUUCGGGAGAAGGAGUGCCUUAUUCGUAAGGUUGCAAUAACAAGAUCCAAGCAACUGUUUAUCAAAAACACAGGUCUCCGCUAAGUCGUAAGACGAUGUAUGGGGGCUGACGCCUGCCCAGUGCCAGAAGGUUAAAGAAGUUGGUUAGCAAUUGCGAAGCUGAUAACUGAAGCCCUGGUGAACGGCGGCCGUAACAAUAACGGUCCUAAGGUAGCGAAAUUCCUUGUCGGGUAAGUUCCGACCCGCACGAAAGGCGUAAUGAUUUGGAUACUGUCUCGGAGAGGGGCUCGGUGAAAUAGACUUGUCUGUGAAGAUGCGGACUACCUGCACCAGGACAGAAAGACCCUAUGAAGCUUUACUGUAACUUGAAAUUGAAAUUGGACUUUAUUCGCGCAGUAUAGGUGGGAGGCGUUGAUUAUAAUCUUGUGGGAUUAUUGGAGCCAUCAGUGAGAUACCACUCUUGUAAUGUUAGAUUUCUAACUUUGAAUCAUUAUCUGGUCAAAGAACAGUUUCAGGCGGGCAGUUUGACUGGGGCGGUCGCCUCCUAAACGGUAACGGAGGCGUACAAAGGUUUCCUCUGAACGGUUAGAAAUCGUAUCUAGAGUGUAAAGGCAUAAGGAAGCUUGACUGUGAGACCUACAAGUCGAGCAGGGACGAAAGUCGGUCUUAGUGAUCUGACGGUACUGAGUGGAAAGGCCGUCACUCAACGGAUAAAAGUUACUCUAGGAUAACAGGCUGAUCUCCCCCAAGAGUUCACAUCGACGGGGAGGUUUGGCACCUUGAUGUCGGCUCAUCGCAUCCUGGGGCGGUAGUACGUCCCAAGGGUUGGGCUGUUCGCCCAUGAAAGCGGUACGCGAGCUGGGUUCAGAACGUCGUGAGACAGUUCGGUCCAUAUCCGGUGUAGGCGUUAGAAUAUUGAGAGGAGCCUUCUUUAGUACGAGAGGACCGAGAAGGACAUACCCCUGGUGUACCAGUUAUCGUGCCAACGGUAAACGCUGGGUAGCUAUGUAUGGAGUGGAUAACCGCUGAAAGCAUCUAAGUGGGAAGCCCACCUCAAGAUAAGUAUUCUCAU